Molecule: unclassified non-coding RNA, 236 nt
Filed under: Hevea brasiliensis (rubber tree)
Lineage: Eukaryota; Viridiplantae; Streptophyta; Magnoliopsida; Malpighiales; Euphorbiaceae
Source: RNAcentral
GGGGCAUCAAGAACAGUUCUCAAGCGCUCAGAAACAUCACCUAAAGGUACCCAUUUGCAACAAAAGGUCAAAGCUCGACACCAUGUGGAGGUGGAAAUUGAGGGCAAACUUUCUGUCAGGAGACAUAUGACUUGUUUAACAUAUUCAAACAAUACAACUGGUAUUGGUGUCGUACAUAUGUUUAGUAAAAAUGCCAUCUUGACUAUCAAUUAUGUAUUUUACCAGUGCAUGUAAGG